UACAGAGGUCUCAAGCGUUGUUCGGAUUCAUUGGGCGUAAAGGGUGCGUAGGUGGCGGGGUUAGUCAGGUGUGAAAUCUCGGAGCUCAACUCCGAAACUGCACUUGAUACUGCCUUGCUAGAGUACUGGAGAGGAGAUUGGAAUUUACGGUGUAGCAGUGAAAUGCGUAGAUAUCGUAAGGAAGACCAGUGGCGAAGGCGAAUCUCUGGACAGUUACUGACACUGAGGCACGAAGGCCAGGGGGAGCAAACAGG
This 254-nucleotide ribosomal RNA is filed under the name uncultured bacterium. RNAcentral describes it as "partial 16S ribosomal RNA". It matches the Rfam family "Bacterial small subunit ribosomal RNA", at positions 524 to 776 of the family's 1533-position model. The record is from RNAcentral.